Molecule: unclassified non-coding RNA, 1788 nt
Filed under: Hevea brasiliensis (rubber tree)
Lineage: Eukaryota; Viridiplantae; Streptophyta; Magnoliopsida; Malpighiales; Euphorbiaceae
Source: RNAcentral
GCUGCUCCAAUCUCAUCCACAACCGUUUUCAUUGUUGGUGAUCAUGGGACCUGAACGCGGAGCUGUAAUGGCUACUAUUUUCCUUGCUCUUCUCUUUAGUCCUCUGGUGCUUCCAGUGUCGGCUGAUGGUUUGGUCAGAAUUGGGCUCAAGAAGCAGCCGAUCGACCAAAACAGCCAGGUAGCUUUCCGUCUUGCUUCCGAGGAGGCAAGGCGGUCGACUGCCAGGAAGUUUGGGCUCCAUAGUGGGCUCGAGGAUGGUGCUGAGGAGACAGAUAUUGUAUCGCUGAAGAACUAUUUGAAUGCUCAGUACUUCGGCGAGAUUGCCAUUGGCUCGCCUCCUCAGAAGUUCACGGUCAUCUUUGAUACCGGGAGCUCCAACUUGUGGAUUCCCUCCGCCAAGUGCUAUUUCUCGAUUGCUUGCUUUUUCCAUUCCAAGUAUAGGUCAAGCAGAUCCAGCACCUAUCAGAAGAAUGGAAAAUCUGCUGCUAUUCAUUAUGGAACUGGAUCAGUAUCUGGUUUCUUCAGCCAAGAUCAUGUUAAGAUUGGUGGCCUUGUUGUCAAAGAUCAGAUUUUCAUUGAAGCUACUCGGGAGCCAAGUCUCACUUUUGUUGUAGCAAAGUUUGAUGGCCUACUUGGGCUGGGAUUCAAAGAAAUAUCAGUUGGGGAUGUUGUGCCUGUGUGGUACAACAUGAUCGACCAGGGUCUUAUGAAGGAACCAGUUUUCUCUUUCUGGUUCAACCGGAAAGCUGGGGAAGGUGAGGGGGGUGAACUUGUAUUUGGAGGAGUCGACCCAAAUCACUAUAAAGGUGAACACACCUAUGUUCCUGUGACACGAAAAGGUUACUGGCAGUUUGACAUGGGGGAUGUUUAUGUUGGUGGCCAAUCAACUGGAUUUUGUGCUGGUGGUUGUGCUGCCAUUGCAGAUUCUGGAACUUCUUUGAUAGCUGGUCCAACGACCAUCGUUACUGAAAUUAAUCAAAAAAUUGGAGCUGCUGGUAUUGUUAGCCAGGAAUGCAAAGCAGUUGUGGUAGAAUAUGGGGAACAAAUACUGGCUUUGUUGUUGGCAGAGACACAACCAUCCAAAAUUUGCUCCCAGAUUGGUCUAUGUACCUUCGAUGGGACCCAUGGGGUUAGUACUGGCAUUGAGAGUGUGGUCAAUGACAAGGGUGAAGGUGUUGGUGCACAUGAUGCCAUGUGCACAGCCUGUGAGAUGGCAGUUGUCUGGAUGCAAAAUCAGCUUCGUCGGAAUGAGACACAGGACCAAAUACUUAACUAUAUCAAUCAGCUUUGUGAGCGCUUACCUAGUCCUAUGGGAGAAUCAGCUGUUGACUGUGCUAGUCUUGACACGAUGCCUAAUGUCUCAUUUUCAAUUGGUGGCAAAACUUUUGAGCUGACACCAGAACAGUACAUAAUGAAGGUUGGUGAGGGACCUGCAGCUCAAUGCAUUAGUGGAUUCACAGCUAUGGAUGUACCGCCUCCUCGUGGUCCCCUUUGGAUUUUGGGAGAUGUCUUCAUGGGUGUCUACCACACCGUCUUUGACUAUGGUAAAAUGAGGGUUGGGUUUGCUGAGGCUGCUUGAAAUGAUUCAGGUUGUAUGUUAUUUCUCUGACUAGAACUGCAAGUCUUGGGUUUAUGCACCUUACGUAAGUUUAUGGAAUGCUUGUAAAUAUUCUGGGUAUGUAUGCCCAAUGGUUUAUGUUUUUGUUAUUACUAUUAUCAUCCCUUCUCUGUAAUAGUUAUUUGUUUACUGAAUUGGGAUGUGAAGAAGCUAAAGUUACUUGCCUUUUG